GGGCCAUGGCUCAGUCAUAGAGCAUCUGCUUUGCAUACACAAGGUUCCAGAUUCAAUCCCUGGCAUCUCCA
Non-coding RNA from Podarcis lilfordi (Lilford's wall lizard), 71 nucleotides. Lineage: Eukaryota; Metazoa; Chordata; Lepidosauria; Squamata; Lacertidae. The record is from the annotation of a GenBank genome assembly.